This 71-nucleotide transfer RNA is filed under the name Marmota monax (woodchuck). RNAcentral's name for it is "tRNA.Ala". The stretch from base 6 to 66 matches the Rfam family "tRNA", at positions 6 to 65 of the family's 71-position model. From Rfam's summary of the family: Transfer RNA (tRNA) molecules are approximately 80 nucleotides in length. Their secondary structure includes four short double-helical elements and three loops (D, anti-codon, and T loops). Further hydrogen bonds mediate the characteristic L-shaped molecular structure. tRNAs have two regions of fundamental functional importance: the anti-codon, which is responsible for specific mRNA codon recognition, and the 3' end, to which the tRNAs corresponding amino acid is attached (by aminoacyl-tRNA synthetases). tRNAs cope with the degeneracy of the genetic code in two manners: having more than one tRNA (with a specific anti-codon) for a particular amino acid; and 'wobble' base-pairing, i.e. permitting non-standard base-pairing at the 3rd anti-codon position. The record is from RNAcentral. Lineage: Eukaryota; Metazoa; Chordata; Mammalia; Rodentia; Sciuridae.
GAGGAUGUGGCUCAGUGAUAGGGUGCUUGCCCAGCAUGCAUGAGGCCCUGGGUUCAAUUCCCAGCACUGCA